Molecule: long non-coding RNA, 830 nt
Filed under: Monodelphis domestica (gray short-tailed opossum)
Lineage: Eukaryota; Metazoa; Chordata; Mammalia; Didelphimorphia; Didelphidae
Description: lncRNA (ENSMODG00000042935.1)
Source: RNAcentral
GUGGGAGGGGGUAGAAGGAAGAUGGAGUCUAGAGGUGCAAAGAAGAGAGGGAGUUUUUAGGUGAAAGUGGCAGAGUUGUAAUUGUGGUAGGAGGAUGGUGACUUAUGCAAUAAAGGAUUGUGAAAAAAGAUGGCCAAUGGAUCAGCUUCACAAAAAAUGCAAAUCUUCUGCUAUUUUGUUGAAUCUGGCAAACAGGAUGAUCGUUUAGAGUCAAAGACAUUUCUGCUGGUAGAACUUCCCAUGGCCUUCACACAUCACUACUGCUCCAAGCAGGAAGACUCAGUCCCUGCAAAGGAGUCUGAUUUCUCCAAUAGGCCCAGGUAAGUGUCCUGAGGAGACCUCUCAUGAUGGGAAGCCUGGAUCUGGAGGAACUCUUCUAGAUGCUCAUUAAGCUUACCUCUUUUUUUCUAACAGGAGAAUCUCCCUGUCCCUGAACUGAUCAUAUUCAAAGAGCUGACCUCCGAGAGAAGACAGCAACGUAACACGGCAGCCAACUCACUCUUACCUUGUUUCAUUUUUUUCACUGCUUCUUUUGGUACUGGAGAGGAAUAAGGAUAUUUGGGUUCUAGUCAAGUCAGCCCCUAAUUAACUAUCAACUGAAGAGUAGAACCCACAUACCUUAGCCAAAGAGACUGUGGCUGACAGGCCAUCCUGGCCAAUGGAAGUGAAGAUGAUAAUGAUGAUAAUAUUAACAAUAAUACCUGGUAAGCUAAAAGACUCAGUGGCUAGAUAACUAUGUGACCCUGGGCAAGUCACUUCACCCUGACUGCCUCGCCCUUGCACCUUUUCUGUCUUAGAACUGUGACUAAGACAGAAGGUAAGGGUUUGAA